AUUGAACGCUGGCGGCAGGCUUAACACAUGCAAGUCGACCGGUAGCACAGGGGAGCUUGCUCCCUGGGUGACGAGCGGCGGACGGGUGAGUAAUGUCUGGGAAACUGCCUGAUGGAGGGGGAUAACUACUGGAAACGGUAGCUAAUACCGCAUAACGUCGCAAGACCAAAGAGGGGGACCUUCGGGCCUCUUGCCAUCAGAUGUGCCCAGAUGGGAUUAGCUAGUAGGUGGGGUAAUGGCUCACCUAGGCGACGAUCCCUAGCUGGUCUGAGAGGAUGACCAGCCACACUGGAACUGAGACACGGUCCAGACUCCUACGGGAGGCAGCAGUGGGGAAUAUUGCACAAUGGGCGCAAGCCUGAUGCAGCCAUGCCGCGUGUGUGAAGAAGGCCUUCGGGUUGUAAAGCACUUUCAGCGAGGAGGAAGGUGGUGAGCUUAAUACGUUCAUCAAUUGACGUUACUCGCAGAAGAAGCACCGGCUAACUCCGUG
Molecule: ribosomal RNA, 490 nt
Filed under: uncultured bacterium
Lineage: Bacteria
Description: partial 16S ribosomal RNA
Rfam family: Bacterial small subunit ribosomal RNA
Source: RNAcentral